AUAACUUGUUGUUGUUAAUAAUACUAACCUAUGAGUGUGUUAACUUGUUGUUGUUGAUAAUAAUACUAACCUAUGAGUGUGAUAACUUGUUGUUGUGUCAGUUCUGUUACAUGAAGUUGUUGUUGUUUAGGUGCGUAACCUGACGUGGUGGACUUUGACUCAGGAGGAAGAGGGAGAAAUACCACUCCAGAAAGUCUCCUCUAUUAGCCACCGAGAGCAGAGACCCCAGGUCCACGGUUCUGCUCCGGUGCGGAGGGCGGUCUGCGGCCGCGGGGCGGGGCUCUGCAGCUCAGCGGAGGGGCCAGCAGAGGAGGUUCCGUUACCCAGAAUCCCCAGCGUUAGAGAGAGUGUGUUUUGGUCUCGCUUCUGCUGCGUCAAUGCCAUUCUGCUGAUCUGUGUUAAUAUAUUCCUCUACGCUUACUUCGCCUGACCUCUGACCUCUAACUGCUGUCCCAGUAGGAUACUUCCUGUGGGUGUUUUCAUCUCUACGUAAAUCAAUGUUCUUAUGGUUCUAGAAGAUGUAUCGUUCUAGAAUGUUACGGACCUGUGAUGUCACAGUGGGUAGGGUCCUAUUUAGUGUAUUGUAUAUGGACCUCUGAUUGGUCAAUAUUGUGUCCUUGUGUAAAUGAGAUUCAUGAAUAAACACGUGGCCACGUCUUGUAAUCUA
This is a long non-coding RNA of Oncorhynchus gorbuscha (pink salmon), 667 nucleotides long. RefSeq lists it as uncharacterized. The transcript has 2 exons. Lineage: Eukaryota; Metazoa; Chordata; Actinopteri; Salmoniformes; Salmonidae. The record is from RefSeq and is a predicted model, not a curated record.